AUUGAACGCUGGCGGCAUGCUUUACACAUGCAAGUCGAACGGUAACAGGCCUUCGGGUGCUGACGAGUGGCGAACGGGUGAGUAAUGCAUCGGAACGUGCCCAGAGGUGGGGGAUAACGCAGCGAAAGCUGUGCUAAUACCGCAUGUGAUCUGAGGAUGAAAGCGGGGGACCAGGCAGCAAUGUUUGGCCUCGCGCCUUUGGAGCGGCCGAUGUCAGAUUAGGUAGUUGGUGGGGUAAAGGCCUACCAAGCCGACGAUCUGUAGCUGGUCUGAGAGGACGACCAGCCCCACUGGGACUGAGACACGGCCCAGACUCCUACGGGAGGCAGCAGUGGGGAAUUUUGGACAAUGGGCGCAAGCCUGAUCCAGCAAUGCCGCGUGCGGGAAGAAGGCCUUCGGGUUGUAAACCGCUUUUGUACGGAACGAAAAGGCUCUGGCUAAUACCUGGGGCUGAUGACGGUACCGUAAGAAUAAGCACCGGCUAACUACGUG
RNAcentral lists this ribosomal RNA (492 nucleotides) under uncultured bacterium. Its description in RNAcentral is "partial 16S ribosomal RNA". It matches the Rfam family "Bacterial small subunit ribosomal RNA", at positions 30 to 507 of the family's 1533-position model. The record is from RNAcentral.